Molecule: ribosomal RNA, 514 nt
Filed under: unidentified beta proteobacterium Me2
Lineage: Bacteria; Pseudomonadati; Pseudomonadota; Betaproteobacteria
Description: bacterial SSU rRNA
Rfam family: Bacterial small subunit ribosomal RNA
Source: RNAcentral
UGGGGGAUAACGCAUCGAAAGAUGUGCUAAUACCGCAUAAUCUCUGAGGAGGAAAGUAGGGGAUCGAAAGACCUUAUGCUUUUGNGAGCGNCCGAUGUCUGAUUAGCUAGUUGGUGGGGUAAUGGCUUACCAAGGCGACGAUCAGUAGUUGGUCUGAGAGGACGANCAGCCACACUGGGACUGAGACACGGCCCAGACUCCUACGGGAGGCAGCAGUGGGGAAUUUUGGACAAUGGGCGCAAGCCUGAUCCAGCAAUGCCGCGUGAGUGAAGAAGGCCUUCGGGUUGUAAAGCUCUUUCAGUCGAAAAGAAAAGGUUAUGACUNAAUAAUCAUAAUCCAUGACGGUAUCGACAGAAGAAGCACCGGCUAACUACGUGCCAGCAGCCGCGGUAAUACGUAGGGUGCGAGCGUUAAUCGGAAUUACUGGGCGUAAAGGGUGCGCAGGCGGUUCUGUAAGUCAGAUGUGAAAUCCCCGGGCUUAACNUGGGAACUGCGUUUGAAACUACAAAGCUAG